This 204-nucleotide unclassified non-coding RNA is filed under the name Hevea brasiliensis (rubber tree). The record is from RNAcentral. Lineage: Eukaryota; Viridiplantae; Streptophyta; Magnoliopsida; Malpighiales; Euphorbiaceae.
AGUGGCCGCUGUCCUCCUCGCGUGGGAUAUCCAACGUAAAAGACUUCAGCUUGAAAUGGACUUUUUCGGACUUGAGGCCAGUGAUGGAAUCUGCCCAGCUCGUCGCGAUGAGUUCUAAUCCUACCUACAUGCGAGAGGUCUUCAAGCGCGACUGACCUUGAGAGGACGUUUGUACGCGUCUUGAAAAAAUGUACGACAGAGGAA